RNAcentral lists this ribosomal RNA (120 nucleotides) under uncultured bacterium. RNAcentral's name for it is "partial 16S ribosomal RNA". It matches the Rfam family "Bacterial small subunit ribosomal RNA", at positions 29 to 141 of the family's 1533-position model. The record is from RNAcentral.
AGUGAACGCUGGCGGCAGGCCUAACACAUGCAAGUCGAACGGCAGCACAGCAGUAGCAAUACUGUGGGUGGCGAGUGGCGGACGGGUGAGGAAUACAUCGGAAUCUACCUUGUCGUGGGG